Molecule: ribosomal RNA, 634 nt
Filed under: Maublancomyces gigas
Lineage: Eukaryota; Fungi; Ascomycota; Pezizomycetes; Pezizales; Discinaceae
Description: Gyromitra gigas partial large subunit ribosomal RNA
Source: RNAcentral
GUACCCGCUGAACUUAAGCAUAUCAAUAAGCGGAGGAAAAGAAACCAACAGGGAUUGCGUCAGUAACGGCGAGUGAAGCGGCAACAGCUCAAAUUUUAAAGCUGGCGUCCUCGACGCCCGCGUUGUAAUUUGGAGAGGCAUCUUCGGUUUGGGCGCCAGCCUAUGUUCCUUGGAACAGGACGUCACAGAGGGUGAGAAUCCCGUGCUUGGCUGGCUGUCCCUCUCCAUGUGAAGUGUCUUCGACGAGUCGAGUUGUUUGGGAAUGCAGCUCAAAAUGGGUGGUAAAUUUCAUYUAAAGCUAAAUAUUGGCGGGAGACCGAUAGCGCACAAGUAGAGUGAUCGAAAGAUGAAAAGCACUUUGAAAAUAGAGUUAAAAAGUACGUGAAAUUGUUGAAAGGGAAGCGCUUGAGACCAGACUCGGCCGGAGACGAUCAGCGGUCCUUUUGGGCCGUGCACUCGUCCUCGGUUGGGCCAGCAUCGGUUGAGACGGUGGGAUAAAGGUCUGGGGAAUGUGGCUCCUUUCGGGGAGUGUUAUAGCCCCGGGCGCAAUGCCGCCAGCCUCGACCGAGGACCGCGCUCUUUUGCUAGGAUGCUGGCGUAAUGGUCUUCAGCGACCCGUCUUGAAACACGGACC